CACCGCGGUUAUACGAUGAGCCCAAGCUGACAGAAACCGGCGUAAAGGGUGGUUAAGAGAUACAAUAAACUAAAGCCGAACACCUUCAUGGCUGUUAUACGCAUCCGAAGAAAUGAAGCACCACCACGAAAGUGACUUUAUAAACUCUGAAUCCACGAAAGCUGGGGAA
Molecule: ribosomal RNA, 169 nt
Filed under: Pseudamiops gracilicauda (graceful-tailed cardinalfish)
Lineage: Eukaryota; Metazoa; Chordata; Actinopteri; Kurtiformes; Apogonidae
Description: partial small subunit ribosomal RNA
Source: RNAcentral